Molecule: ribosomal RNA, 372 nt
Filed under: uncultured organism
Description: bacterial SSU rRNA
Rfam family: Bacterial small subunit ribosomal RNA
Source: RNAcentral
CGUAGGGUGCAAGCGUUGUUCGGAAUCAUUGGGCGUAAAGCGCGUGUAGGCUGUCAGGCAAGUCGGGUGUGAAAUCCCUGGGCUCAACCCAGGAAGUGCAUUCGAAACUACCUGGCUAGAAGAUGGUAGAGGAAGGUGGAAUUCCAAGUGUAGAGGUGAAAUUCGUAGAUAUUUGGAGGAAUACCGGUGGCGAAGGCGGCCUUCUGGACCAUUCUUGACGCUGAGACGCGAAAGCGUGGGUAGCAAACAGGAUUAGAUACCCUGGUAGUCCACGCUGUAAACGAUGGGUACUAGGUGUUGUGGGAAUUGACCCCCGCAGUGCCGACGCUAACGCAUUAAGUACCCCGCCUGGGAAGUACGGCCGCAAGGUUA